CUACCAUGCAGUCGACGCUGAAGCUCCAGCUUGCUGGGGUGGAUGAGUGGCGAACGGGUGAGUAACACGUGAGUAACCUUCCCUUGACUCUGGGAUAAGCCCGGGAAACUGGGUCUAAUACCGGAUAUGACCUCUUAUCGCAUGGUGGGGGGUGGAAAGAUUUAUCGGUCUUGGAUGGACUCGCGGCCUAUCAGCUUGUUGGUGAGGUAGUGGCUCACCAAGGCGACGACGGGUAGCCGGCCUGAGAGGGUGACCGGCCACACUGGGACUGAGACACGGCCCAGACUCCUACGGGAGGCAGCAGUGGGGAAUAUUGCACAAUGGGCGCAAGCCUGAUGCAGCGACGCCGCGUGAGGGAUGACGGCCUUCGGGUUGUAAACCUCUUUCAGUAGGGAAGAAGCCUUUGGGUGACGGUACCUGCAGAAGAAGCGCCGGCUAACUACGUGCCAGCAGCCGCGGUAAUACGUAGGGCGCGAGCGUUAUCCGGAAUUAUUGGGCGUAAAGAGCUCGUAGGCGGUUUGUCGCGUCUGCCGUGAAAGUCCGGGGCUUAACCCCGGAUCUGCGGUGGGUACGGGCAGACUAGAGUGCAGUAGGGGAGACCGGAAUUCCUGGUGUAGCGGUGAAAUGCGCAGAUAUCAGGAGGAACACCGAUGGCGAAGGCAGGUCUCUGGGCUGUUACUGACGCUGAGGAGCGAAAGCAUGGGGAGCGAACAGGAUUAGAUACCCUGGUAGUCCAUGCCGUAAACGUUGGGCACUAGGUGUGGGGGACAUUCCACGU
Molecule: ribosomal RNA, 778 nt
Filed under: Citricoccus parietis
Lineage: Bacteria; Bacillati; Actinomycetota; Actinomycetes; Micrococcales; Micrococcaceae
Description: bacterial SSU rRNA
Rfam family: Bacterial small subunit ribosomal RNA
Source: RNAcentral